UAUCUCAUGACGUCACCACAACAACACACCUGCCGAGCUCUUGGUCAGUUGUGGGAUGGUAACAGCAGGUGUGUGAUACAACUCUCCAUCACUUUAAGGAAGAAUAAAGAUCAGAGAAGAAGAUGGAAAGGCUUCAUAAAUGAUCAAUUAUGAAGGUUGUUGGAGGGAGAGAACUACUACCAUUACUUUACCAAGAAGACUUAUAAAAGGAUUAACAAUUGAUCAAUACCACAACGGCCAGAUGUUACAACAAAACAUUGGGAAAUUGAACUGCUCCACCAUGGCUGAAAAUGGUAACUGGUGUAUGGAACAAGAGCUGUCACCAUGACACUGGCACCGUGGCACUGUACCACAUAUAACAAGGUGACACUGGCACCGUGGCACUGUACCACAUAUAACAAGAUGAGUUAACAACUAAACCUUGAGAAACUAACAUGUGGAUCAUGGAGACACUGCUGUUACAGGUGUGUCUUUCUGUAUGUUGUAUUUAUCCAUAUCUCUAUUUUUCUAUAUAUGUCCAACUGUU
This 526-nucleotide long non-coding RNA is filed under the name Homarus americanus (American lobster). Its description in RNAcentral is "uncharacterized LOC121866180". The record is from RNAcentral. Lineage: Eukaryota; Metazoa; Arthropoda; Malacostraca; Decapoda; Nephropidae.